This 136-nucleotide ribosomal RNA is filed under the name uncultured Trebouxiophyceae. RNAcentral describes it as "partial small subunit ribosomal RNA". It matches the Rfam family "Eukaryotic small subunit ribosomal RNA", at positions 1670 to 1804 of the family's 1831-position model. Lineage: Eukaryota; Viridiplantae; Chlorophyta; Trebouxiophyceae. The record is from RNAcentral.
CGCCCGUCGCUCCUACCGAUUGGGUGUGCUGGUGAAGUGUUCGGAUUGGCUACCGGGUGCGGUCUCCGCUCUCGGUCGCCGAGAAGUUCAUUAAACCCUCCCACCUAGAGGAAGGAGAAGUCGUAACAAGGUUUCC